GGCGGGUACUUGUAUAUCCCAACAAUAAAAAGACACUAUAAGUACUGAUCUGAAAGUAUAUAUAACUAAUAUAGUACCAUGCUGUUGAUUAAAAAUAACAUCACUCCAGACCCUUUUGUUUUCCACAUAAUUAAUAUUGCCAAUAAUUAAGAAGUUCCGGGUCGAAUCGAUACCAAUAAUAUAUUCACCUGUUAACUAUUACAUUAUCUGUACGUUCCGCAUCUGACAAGAGUACCACGAAACGCUGUAUUUAAGAUUUUGCUAUAUACACGGGUCGUAAUCACAGGGUUGAAACUACUUAAUUCAAUCAUUGUCACAUUGUUCCCGAUUGUAGUACUUUAAUCAGUAUGACUUUCUAAGAUGACAAUACGAAUAAUAAAAA
RNAcentral lists this long non-coding RNA (382 nucleotides) under Mytilus galloprovincialis (Mediterranean mussel). The record is from RNAcentral. Lineage: Eukaryota; Metazoa; Mollusca; Bivalvia; Mytilida; Mytilidae.